This 73-nucleotide transfer RNA is filed under the name Bacillota bacterium. RNAcentral describes it as "Firmicutes bacterium (hot springs metagenome) tRNA-Val". It matches the Rfam family "tRNA". Rfam says of the family: Transfer RNA (tRNA) molecules are approximately 80 nucleotides in length. Lineage: Bacteria; Bacillati; Bacillota. The record is from RNAcentral.
GGGCGAAUAGCUCAGAUGGCAGAGCAUCUGCUUUACACGCAGGAGGCCACAGGUUCAAGUCCUGUUUCGCCCA